ACUCUCGAAACAGAUCACAUAUAUAGCAGUUCACCCAGAGUUAGAUUACGAGAUGACAACUCGUAGUCUUCCCUCUACACCAAUAUAAAAUGCCAUCGGUAGCAACAUGCCUGAUAACUUCUGCACGACACAUAACAAGACCGUAAAGGUCUGACUGGAAAACAGGUUGUAAGAAUCUCAACUCCAGGACGAACUACAAAAGACUUGAUCCCUUCGACAAGGGUACGUAGGCAGCCUUCACAAGGCGCAUACCUAAUCUUAUCGCACUCCACUUUUAGUACAGUGAACAUACCACUU
Molecule: long non-coding RNA, 297 nt
Filed under: Brassica napus (rape)
Lineage: Eukaryota; Viridiplantae; Streptophyta; Magnoliopsida; Brassicales; Brassicaceae
Description: long non-coding RNA (BNAP_LNC022518)
Source: RNAcentral